AAAUGUUUAAGAUUUGAAGAAGUCCAGAAGGUAUUUGUUUAAAUUUUUGCCUAAAAGGAAUGAGAAUAAAAUGUUUAUUAGAAAUGAUUGUAAUUGUUUUAAAACAAUUCAAUUACAACUAAUUUAUAUAAAGUGAAUUACAACUAAUUUAUAUGUAUUUCAGACAAACCAUAUAGGAAGAUUCGAUGUUAUAGCCAUGAAAAUUUACAACAGGCAAUUGCUGCAGUUCUAAGUGGAGUUUUGUCCCAGAAUAAAGCUUCUUUUGUUUAUGGUGUGCCACAAAAGACAAUUUCUAGGAGAAUUAGAAAAAUAAGAGAUCAAAAUACAACUUGAAACUCUUCACAAUUAAUUUUGAGCACGAAACUGAAAAAAAAACCUAGAAAAACUGAAGAAUGCAAAAAAAAAAAAAAAAAUGUAUUAGUUGCUGAUGGAGUUAUUUGAUGAUGAAAAAAAAUAUGCCUUUUGUAAAUAAUAAUGAUCACAAAGUCUGCUUGCUUGUACAUGUAUUUGGAAUAGUAUAAUAAAAAUAUAUAGCACUUUUUCAUUUUAUUUAAUUAUGGCUAGACUAGAUUUUGAACACUACUUUGACCAAAAGUUGGACAUCAAAAAGAUUAUGUACAGAAUCAAGAAUCAAAUAAUCAAGGAAAAUUGGCUCUUUUGAAAUGGAAAGAUGAUGUAAAUUUACAUAUCAGAUGCAUAUGGCUAUAUAAAAGUCCUUUGUUUUAUUGCUUAAAAAUGAUUUGGCUCUUUGAUUGAAUGUUUUUUUCUCUUGAUUGAUCAUAUAUUAUAU
Molecule: long non-coding RNA, 790 nt
Filed under: Mytilus galloprovincialis (Mediterranean mussel)
Lineage: Eukaryota; Metazoa; Mollusca; Bivalvia; Mytilida; Mytilidae
Source: RNAcentral